AUGCUCACUUUGGAGGCACAAAUACUAAAACUGGAAUGAUAGAGAAAAGAUUAGCAUGGUCCCUGUGCAAAGAUGACAUGCAAAUUUAUGAAGCAUUCAAUUUUUUA
Dromiciops gliroides (monito del monte) is the source of this 107-nucleotide small nuclear RNA. Lineage: Eukaryota; Metazoa; Chordata; Mammalia; Microbiotheria; Microbiotheriidae. The record is from RefSeq and is a predicted model, not a curated record.